Molecule: long non-coding RNA, 2621 nt
Organism: Vigna unguiculata (cowpea)
Lineage: Eukaryota; Viridiplantae; Streptophyta; Magnoliopsida; Fabales; Fabaceae
Source: RefSeq, a predicted model, not a curated record
UCUUUCUGAUACGUGUAUAUAAUGAAUAUCUUAAACGUGAACAGAUUCGGAAAUGUUCGAUUCGUGAAAAUUUUCCCUUUAAAAUUUGGGAUUCGCGAAAUUUUUUCCUAUAUUACGUAUCUGAUGCAGUGUAUGGAGGCGUAUUUGAUGCAGUGUCCAAAUUGAUGGCCGCGUCUAACCCAUGAGCAAGCUCCGGACACCGCAUUGUGCAGGUGUCUGCUCCGCCUCCGCGUCGGUGUCCGCUUCGGGAGCGGGAAGCGCGCUCCAAACGGCGUGUCGGAGCAUCUUCUUGAGACCCAAAAUCCAGUUCUUUAGUAUGUCUGGAUUCCAGGGUUAAGAGUUAUGGAGCUAUUAGGAAAAUUGUGUGCGACCGAAAGAUUUUAUUCUUGUGUAGCACAGAAUCAGUUUAACGUUUAACGUUUAACGAUUGAUGAUUUUGAAUUGUAUGGUGUGCUUUUGCGGGAUUGAAUUAUACGGUGUGGUGUCUAAGGAUCAUCAAUGUGCUUUUUGUUGGGUUGAAUUAUACGGUGUUUAAAGAUCGACCGAUGUGAAUUUGUGGGAUUGAAUUAUAUGGUCCUUCAUCUUCUACCCAAUUUCAUUAUAGUUUUCUUGAAUUCAUGGGCUUUACAAGGAAACUAAAAAAUGAAGUGGGUGCGGAGUGUGUAAAUGGUGGUGGACAAGUUUGAGAAACGGUUGGAUGGAGAUCUGGUGAAACUUUAGAUUUUAUUGUCCUUGUAUGCAGUAUUUUCAUUGCCGUUUUUCUUCAUGCCAUGCUUGUGGAAUGGGUGAUCCUGUAAAUAAGCAUUCUUUGAGUGGGAGGCUUUGACAUUUGUGUUGUUGGACCGUUAACUCUGAACUUACUAUAAAGCUUUAUGUUUUAUUACGUUUCCAUUAAAUUCAUUCGCCUUGCAGGGAAACUAAUAAAUGAAGUUGCUGCAGGGUGUGCAAAUGGUGAGUGGUGAGGAGGUUUUGGAAACAGUGCAUGCGGUAGUGAAACCUUAGGUUUAAUUAUUUUUGCAUUCAUUAUUUUCAUUGCCAUUUUUCUUCCGGUUAAACUUGUGGAGUGGGAGAUAUUGUAAAUUCUUGUAAAUAUGCACUGCAUGAGUGAGAGGCCAUGACAAUUUUAAUUAACUUUUUCUACACAGUGAAGAGGAUGUCUAUUGGGUCAUGGCAUCAUUAGUUGUAGAUUAUUUAACUUACUAUGUUGCAGCGAAGAGGAUGUCUAUUGAGUCGUGGAGUUGUAUAUUAUUUAACUUACUACAGAGCUUUAUGGUUUAUUACGAUGGCUUUAUUCUCUCUCAUAAAUUGUAGGAAGGCACAUGUGUCAACCAUGGCUUGUCUUUGAGCAAGAACAAUACUUGAUUUUUCUGCACCAGUUUCUUAAUAAUUUGAUUUGUUUAUCCAUCUUAGUGUCAAGGUCCUUCAUCUUCCUCCGAGAUUGAUUAUAAUUUUCUUGAAUUCAUUGGGUUUUCAGGAAAACUAAGAAAUGAAGUGGGUGCAAGGUAUGCAAACAAAGGGUGGUUGGUAGGUUUUUGAAACUAAGAAAUGAAGUGGGUGCAUGGUGUUCAUAUAGUGGGUGGUUGGCAGUGAAUGGAGAUGAUGGAGAUCCGACGAAACCUUAGGUCUCAUUAUCUUAGCAUUCAUUAUUUUCUUUAUCAUUGUUCUUCAUGCUAAACUUUUGGAGUGGUAUAUGUUAUAAAUAGGCACUAUAUGAGUGAGAGACUUUGACAUGGGUCCUGUUAGACUGUUGACUCUGUUUAUGUUGAUUGUCUUUGUUUAGUCAUGUUGCGGCAAUGAGGAUAUUUGUUGGAUCGUGGAGGCAAAAGCUGUAAAUUAUUGAACUUACUUCAAAACUUUAUGUUUUAUUACGUCUCCAUGUAUUCUCAUUCUUGAGUGCUCGAGUUUGAGUUGUAGUCUCUCUUAUUGGUUAUAGGCAGGUACAUGUGUCAGCCAUGGUGUUUGUCUAAGCAAGUGCAAUACUUUAUCACUGAACAUUAUGAUCACCAAGCCUGUUAUGGAAAUUUGAGUUUUGGUUUUUUAGUUCUUGAAUUUGUUUAUUCAUCUUAUUGUCUGUCCUUCCUCUUCUACCCAAGUCGAUUUUAGUUUCUUAAAAUCUUGGGCUCUGCAGGAAAACUAAGAAAUGAAGUCGGUGCAGGGUGCGCAAAUGGUGUGAAAACAUUAGGGUAACUAAGAUGAAGUGGGUGCAGAGUGUGCAAAUGGUUGGUGGUAGACAGGUUUCAGAAACAGAUAUGGUGACCUUGUAAAUAAGCAUUCAGUAUUCAAUGCGGUUAUUCUUCAAGCCAAACUUGUGGAAAUAAGCAUUAUUUGAGUCAGAGGCUUUGACAUUUGUGAUCAUCAGAGCCUAUUUUUGGAUUUUCUCCAUUGGUUUCUCACUUCUUGAAUUUGUUUAUAUGAAGCUUUAUGGUGUAUUACGCUUUAAUUUACUAUUUUUGUUAUGGGCUUGUGUUGGAAUGUUUGUAUCCUCUCAUUCGUUGUAGGAAGGUACAUGUGUCAAUCGUGGCGUUUGUCUGAGAAAGAGCAAUGCUUGAUCUUUUAACAUUGUGACUUUGAACAUUGUGAUCAUCGAGCCCAUUAUGGUAGUUUUUCCAUUAGUUUCUUAA